UGGGGAAUUUUGGACAAUGGGGGCAACCCUGAUCCAGCCAUCCCGCGUGUGCGAUGAAGGCCUUCGGGUUGUAAAGCACUUUUGGCAGGGAAGAAACAGCCUGGGCUAAUAUCCCGGGCGACUGACGGUACCUGCAGAAUAAGCACCGGCUAACUACGUGCCAGCAGCCGCGGUAAUACGUAGGGUGCAAGCGUUAAUCGGAAUCACUGGGCGUAAAGCGCGCGUAGGCCGUCUUUUAAGUCGGACGUGAAAGCCCUCGGCUCAACCGGGGAACUGCGUUCGAUACUGGGAGACUUGAGUCCUGGAGAGGGUGGCGGAAUUCCGGGUGUAGGAGUGAAAUCCGUAGAUAUCCGGAGGAACACCGGUGGCGAAGGCGGCCACCUGGACAGGUACUGACGCUGAGGCGCGAAAGCGUGGGGAGCAAACA
This 427-nucleotide ribosomal RNA is filed under the name uncultured bacterium. Its description in RNAcentral is "bacterial SSU rRNA". It matches the Rfam family "Bacterial small subunit ribosomal RNA", at positions 355 to 774 of the family's 1533-position model. The record is from RNAcentral.